GACUUGACAUCUCCUGAAUUACUCUUAAUCGAGGAAGUCCCUUCGGGGACAGGAAGACAGGUGGUGCAUGGUUGUCGUCAGCUCGUGUCGUGAGAUGUUGGGUUAAGUCCCGCAACGAGCGCAACCCUUAUUGUUAGUUGCUACUAUUAAGUUAAGCACUCUAACGAGACUGCCGCGGUUAACGUGGAGGAAGGUGGGGAUGACGUCAAAUCAUCAUGCCCCUUAUGUCUAGGGCUACACACGUGCUACAAUGGCUGGUACAACGAGCAGCAAACCCGCGAGGGGGAGCAAAACUUGAAAGCCAGUCCCAGUUCGGAUUGUAGGCUGAAACUCGCCUACAUGAAGUUGGAGUUGCUAGUAAUCGCGAAUCAGCAUGUCGCGGUGAAUACGUUCCCGGGUCUUGUACACACCGCCCGUCACACCAUGAGAGCCGGUACCACCCGAAGCCCGUGAGGUAACCGUAAGGAGCCAGCGGUCGAAGGUGGGAUUGGUGAUUGGGGUGAAGUCGUAACAAGGUAGCCGUAGGAGAACCUGCGGCUGGAUCACCUCCUUUCUAGGGA
RNAcentral lists this ribosomal RNA (560 nucleotides) under Clostridium botulinum C. RNAcentral describes it as "bacterial SSU rRNA". It matches the Rfam family "Bacterial small subunit ribosomal RNA", at positions 978 to 1533 of the family's 1533-position model. Lineage: Bacteria; Bacillati; Bacillota; Clostridia; Eubacteriales; Clostridiaceae. The record is from RNAcentral.